This 468-nucleotide ribosomal RNA is filed under the name uncultured bacterium. Its description in RNAcentral is "partial 16S ribosomal RNA". It matches the Rfam family "Bacterial small subunit ribosomal RNA", at positions 28 to 507 of the family's 1533-position model. The record is from RNAcentral.
GACGAACGCUGGCGGCGUGCUUAACACAUGCAAGUCGAACGGAAAGGCCCUGCUUUUGUGGGGUGCUCGAGUGGCGAACGGGUGAGUAACACGUGAGUAACCUGCCCUUGACUUUGGUAUAACUUCAGGAAACUGGGGCUAAUACCGGAUAGGAGCUCCUGCUGCAUGGUGGGGGUUGGAAAGUUUCGGCGGGUGGGGAUGGACUCGCGGCUUAUCAGCUUGUUGGUGGGGUAGUGGCUGACCAAGGCUUUGACGGGUAGCCGGCCUGAGAGGGUGACCGGCGACAUGGGGACUGAGAUAGGGACCAGACUGCUACGGGAGGCAGCAGUGGGGAAUAUUGCACAAUGGGCGGAAGCCUGAGGCAGAAACGCCGCGUGCGGGAUGACGGCCUUCGGGUUGUAAAACGCAUUAGCCUGUGACGAAGCGUGAGUGACGGUAAUGGGUAAAGAAGCACCGGCUAACUACGUG